Long non-coding RNA from Fukomys damarensis (Damara mole-rat), 2060 nucleotides. RefSeq lists it as uncharacterized. The transcript has 2 exons. NCBI's taxonomy places the organism in Eukaryota, Metazoa, Chordata, Mammalia, Rodentia, Bathyergidae. The record is from RefSeq and is a predicted model, not a curated record.
UGACAUUCAUCAUUGGGUGUUUGUACCUUCACAUAAUCUAACUUGGUUCUUAUUUUUAAGGCCUUAUUUCUCCAACUCUACCAGCCCCUAGGCCAGUGACAGGCCCCCCAGCUCUCCCCAAACCAGCUAGAGACAGCUAUCCGGUCAUUGCCCACCUAUUUCCCACCAGCUGCAAACUUCUUAACUAAUUCCAGUGGGUAACAAAACUAGCAGCCACCAAAGGGCUGGUGCUGCACCUGCCUGGCAAGCAUAAGGUCCUGAGUUUGAUUCCCAGUACAACAAAACAAAACAAAAACCAACAAAACCAGCAGCCAUCGCUUACUCAAUGCUUACUCUUCACUGACAGAUGCAUCCUCUACCCGCUCAACAACUCUGAGAGGCAGAUACCCUUUCCUAUUCCACAGAUAAGGCAACCAAGGCUCGGCCGAGUGGCGAAUCUGAAUUUGAACCUGGGACUUUCUGGGGCCAAAGCCUGGGUGUCAGUUGAAAAAGAAAAAGUUCUCAUGAGGCAACAGGACAUUUGGAACUCCUCUGUGACCUGGCAGACUAUCGACAUUGAAUACAAACAUCUCUUCAGAAUUACGCCAACCCUGAAGAAAAAUCACUGGUACAGUGUAAUCUAGAACAAAUUGUAUGACGCCAAGUUGAUUCCUUGAUUAUCUAUAUGGUAUGGUUGAGUGCCUUCUGAUUAUCCCUUUUCAAUUAUCAGGGGUGAUCCUUCGCUUCCUUAAUUUUAUCUUAUUUUUGGUCUAUGCCAGAUUGUGAGGCUUUAGCCACUGCCAGUUUUAUUUUGCUAUAUUGCUAUCUACCAGAAGUGUUUGCUAAGAACUGGAUAAGAGACAGAUAGUUUGUAUUUCUUUCUUGGCACAAAGAGCAUUGGUAGGGCAAAGGUCCAGGAGCUGGUGACAUUGUUGGGUCAGAGAGUUCUGUCUUCCUAGGAUCCCCAAAGGGGACUGGACCUGGGAAUGUGCUUAAAGAUGGGCCCUGUCCCUCAGGGGGCCUGUCACGUCUUGGGUGCCGACCUCCCCACUCCACUCUCUGGAGCUGGCAGUGCUUUCCUCCUGUCUCUCCCUCCUCAAGCGCCAAAGACUCUUGCCACAGUCCUCACUGCAUUUUGAUAACUCAGUCUGCUUUUCAGUCUGCCUGCCACCAGUCCCCAGCAGUGCCACAACUCAUUCAGAGACAAGAUUGUCUCCUAGGCCCUUUUGCAUCCUCAGGGCAUCACACAGUACCUGCCUGGCACCAAUUAGGAGACCUGUAACAAUGUGUACAAUGCGUGCGUGGAUGGGUAAAAAGCAGAGUUUGACCCCCCCAAGGGCUGCAAGGCCCAGAGAGAGACAACAUGUUGGGUGUGGAAUCUAAAACCUAAACAUGGCAAUCCUAUCAGAGCUCUGCAUGUCCCCUGCCAGCACCUAAACCCAGAAAGGGAAACAAACUAUUUAAGUCCUAUCAUAGAUCUGACACUUUCCCUUAUCUCAUUUGGUCCGUAUGACAACCCUAAAGAGAAAGUAUCACCAAUGGCACACUUUACAGGUGAAAAAGUUAAAUGGAUUGUUCAUGUCGGUGUCAGAGGUAGGACCCUGUAUGGUAUGACAAAAUCCUUAUGUCAUGCUCUUUCUGGUGGGCGGUCACAUCACCUAGCCCUGAGGCUCCCACAGGCUCCUGAUGAAGGUGAUGUAAGUGAUGUGGUGAUUCCCUAGGGAGGUUUCCCCCACAAAAGCAAAGGGUACAGGUGGGGCAGGCAGGCACUGAGCUCAGAGCACAAGAAUGCAGGGAAGGCAGGCUCCUGCCCAGGCUGGCCAUUAAGAGGCCGGAAGUGAGGAUGAAGUCUGGGCUGGAGUGUAGGGAGACACCCACCUCCAAGGAAGAUCAAAGGAGUGCCCAGGUGAGAGCUGGGGUGGGUACUGGACGGGGUACACAGGGCACCCCAGGAGCACAGCAUGGCAGAAGCAGAGGCACGAGGCAGUGAGAGGAGAUAGCUUUCCAAGGUGACAACAUUAGAACAGACAAAUAAAGGCAGGGAGGCAGACACAGGGGCAAGACACACAGUGAGACAGAAA